GACGAACGCUGGCGGCGUGCCUAAUACAUGCAAGUCGAGCGCAGGAAACUGACGGAACUCUUCGGAGGGAAGGCAGUGGAAUGAGCGGCGGACGGGUGAGUAACACGUAAGGAACCUGCCUCAAGGAUUGGGAUAACUCCGAGAAAUCGGAGCUAAUACCGGAUAGUUCAACGGACCGCAUGGUCCGCUGAUGAAAGGCGCUCCGGCGUCACCUUGAGAUGGCCUUGCGGUGCAUUAGCUAGUUGGUGGGGUAACGGCCCACCAAGGCGACGAUGCAGAGCCGACCUGAGAGGGUGAUCGGCCACACUGGGACUGAGACACGGCCCAGACUCCUACGGGAGGCAGCAGUAGGGAAUCUGCCACAAUGGACGAAAGUCUGAUGGAGCAACGCCGCGUGAGUGAUGAAGGUUUUCGGAUCGUAAAACUCUGUUGUAAGGGAAGAACACGUACGAGAGGAAAUGCUCGUACCUUGACGGUACCUUACGAGAAAGCCACGGCUAACUACGUGCCAGCCGCCGCCGUAA
Molecule: ribosomal RNA, 524 nt
Filed under: uncultured bacterium
Lineage: Bacteria
Description: partial 16S ribosomal RNA
Rfam family: Bacterial small subunit ribosomal RNA
Source: RNAcentral